AUACGGAGGCUGCGAGCGUUAUCCGGAUUUAUUGGGUUUAAAGGGAGCGUAGGUGGGAUAUUAAGUCAGCUGUGAAAGUUUGGGGCUCAACCUUAAAAUUGCAGUUGAUACUGGUUUCCUUGAGUACGGUACAGGUGGGCGGAAUUCGUGGUGUAGCGGUGAAAUGCUUAGAUAUCACGAAGAACUCCGAUCGCGAAGGCAGCUCACCGGGCCGGAACUGACACUGAUGCUCGAAAGUGCGGGUAUCAAACAGGAUUAGAUACCCUGGUAGUCCGCACAGUAAACGAUGAAUACUCGCUGUUUGCGAUACACGGUAAGCGGCCAAGCGAAAGCGUUAAGUAUUCCACCUGGGGAGUACGCCGGCAACGGUGAAACUCAAAGGAAUGGGCGGGG
Molecule: ribosomal RNA, 393 nt
Filed under: uncultured bacterium
Lineage: Bacteria
Description: partial 16S ribosomal RNA
Rfam family: Bacterial small subunit ribosomal RNA
Source: RNAcentral